UGGGCAACCUGCCCCUAGCUCUGGGAUAACUCCGGGAAACCGGGGCUAAUACCGGAUACGACCUCGGAGGGCAUCUUCUGGGGUGGAAAGUUCUUCGGCUAGGGAUGGGCCCGCGGCCUAUCAGCUUGUUGGUGGGGUCACGGCCCACCAAGGCGACGACGGGUAGCCGGCCUGAGAGGGCGACCGGCCACACUGGGACUGAGAUACGGUCCAGACUCCUACGGGAGGCA
RNAcentral lists this ribosomal RNA (230 nucleotides) under uncultured bacterium. Its description in RNAcentral is "partial 16S ribosomal RNA". It matches the Rfam family "Bacterial small subunit ribosomal RNA", at positions 118 to 350 of the family's 1533-position model. The record is from RNAcentral.